This 1734-nucleotide ribosomal RNA is filed under the name Escherichia coli O25b:H4-ST131. RNAcentral describes it as "partial 23S ribosomal RNA". It matches the Rfam family "Bacterial large subunit ribosomal RNA", at positions 139 to 1898 of the family's 2925-position model. Lineage: Bacteria; Pseudomonadati; Pseudomonadota; Gammaproteobacteria; Enterobacterales; Enterobacteriaceae. The record is from RNAcentral.
UUCGACACACUAUCAUUAACUGAAUCCAUAGGUUAAUGAGGCGAACCGGGGGAACUGAAACAUCUAAGUACCCCGAGGAAAAGAAAUCAACCGAGAUUCCCCCAGUAGCGGCGAGCGAACGGGGAGGAGCCCAGAGCCUGAAUCAGUGUGUGUGUUAGUGGAAGCGUCUGGAAAGGCGCGCGAUACAGGGUGACAGCCCCGUACACAAAAAUGCACAUAUUGUGAGCUCGAUGAGUAGGGCGGGACACGUGGUAUCCUGUCUGAAUAUGGGGGGACCAUCCUCCAAGGCUAAAUACUCCUGACUGACCGAUAGUGAACCAGUACCGUGAGGGAAAGGCGAAAAGAACCCCGGCGAGGGGAGUGAAAAAGAACCUGAAACCGUGUACGUACAAGCAGUGGGAGCCUCUUAAUGGGGUGACUGCGUACCUUUUGUAUAAUGGGUCAGCGACUUAUAUUCUGUAGCAAGGUUAACCGAAUAGGGGAGCCGAAGGGAAACCGAGUCUUAACUGGGCGUUAAGUUGCAGGGUAUAGACCCGAAACCCGGUGAUCUAGCCAUGGGCAGGUUGAAGGUUGGGUAACACUAACUGGAGGACCGAACCGACUAAUGUUGAAAAAUUAGCGGAUGACUUGUGGCUGGGGGUGAAAGGCCAAUCAAACCGGGAGAUAGCUGGUUCUCCCCGAAAGCUAUUUAGGUAGCGCCUCGUGAAUUCAUCUCCGGGGGUAGAGCACUGUUUCGGCAAGGGGGUCAUCCCGACUUACCAACCCGAUGCAAACUGCGAAUACCGGAGAAUGUUAUCACGGGAGACACACGGCGGGUGCUAACGUCCGUCGUGAAGAGGGAAACAACCCAGACCGCCAGCUAAGGUCCCAAAGUCAUGGUUAAGUGGGAAACGAUGUGGGAAGGCCCAGACAGCCAGGAUGUUGGCUUAGAAGCAGCCAUCAUUUAAAGAAAGCGUAAUAGCUCACUGGUCGAGUCGGCCUGCGCGGAAGAUGUAACGGGGCUAAACCAUGCACCGAAGCUGCGGCAGCGACACUAUGUGUUGUUGGGUAGGGGAGCGUUCUGUAAGCCUGUGAAGGUGGCCUGUGAGGGUUGCUGGAGGUAUCAGAAGUGCGAAUGCUGACAUAAGUAACGAUAAAGCGGGUGAAAAGCCCGCUCGCCGGAAGACCAAGGGUUCCUGUCCAACGUUAAUCGGGGCAGGGUGAGUCGACCCCUAAGGCGAGGCCGAAAGGCGUAGUCGAUGGGAAACAGGUUAAUAUUCCUGUACUUGGUGUUACUGCGAAGGGGGGACGGAGAAGGCUAUGUUGGCCGGGCGACGGUUGUCCCGGUUUAAGCGUGUAGGCUGGUUUUCCAGGCAAAUCCGGAAAAUCAAGGCUGAGGCGUGAUGACGAGGCACUACGGUGCUGAAGCGACAAAUGCCCUGCUUCCAGGAAAAGCCUCUAAGCAUCAGGUAACAUCAAAUCGUACCCCAAACCGACACAGGUGGUCAGGUAGAGAAUACCAAGGCGCUUGAGAGAACUCGGGUGAAGGAACUAGGCAAAAUGGUGCCGUAACUUCGGGAGAAGGCACGCUGAUAUGUAGGUGAAGCGACUUGCUCGUGGAGCUGAAAUCAGUCGAAGAUACCAGCUGGCUGCAACUGUUUAUUAAAAACACAGCACUGUGCAAACACGAAAGUGGACGUAUACGGUGUGACGCCUGCCCGGUGCCGGAAGGUUAAUUGAUGGGGUUAGCGGUAA